Molecule: small RNA, 474 nt
Filed under: Pongo abelii (Sumatran orangutan)
Lineage: Eukaryota; Metazoa; Chordata; Mammalia; Primates; Hominidae
Description: retained intron
Source: RNAcentral
GGUCUUGUUGAUUGUGGUACAUUUGGGGGGUAGGAGGAGAAUAACUGAGGAGGGCUUGAAGGCAGGAGACUGUUCUCCUGAAAGAUCCUGCUCCACCCUGCCAGGGCCCGUGGGUGGGGCCUGGGCCUGCCCUGCGUGAGCUGCCCUGGGCCUUGGCCCCAUGGAUCUGGAGGGUGGUGGUGGGAGGGUCAGAUGGGGGAGGGAGGGUCUUGGCAGCUGCCCCUGUGGAGGGCACGGUGGGGCUCAGGCCUGACUCUCUCCUGCCUUUUGCCCUGCAGCCCCCCGACACCCUUCCUGCCCUUCGCCUCUACUCUGCCUUUGCCCCCAGCGCCCCCAGGCCCCUCAGCACCUGAUGAAGAGGACGAAGAAGAUUAUGACUCCUAGCGCCUUCCACCCCCCAGGCCAUAGCCCCUUUUAGUUGGUUUUAGUUGCUCUGGGGGGAGGCGAGAAGGUAGAGCUGUUCUUAAAUUUAUU